UUUUUUUUUUUUUUUUCCCCACCGUGCAGACCUCUGGAUCAGGGAAAGAUUUCACUAAAUGCCAACAGACAGUGUUGUAGCAGUUCUUAACUGUAACCUUUCCAUGUGUAGAUACGCAUCUUUUGCAGAUUCUCCAGCUGUUAACAUUUUAUAAUCUGUCCGUAACCUCCAGGUUAAAAUCUGGUUUUAUAGCUAGACAUGGUAACUGUCCCCCAACCACCAAUGUUCUCUUCUGUACUGUACACUGAAGCAAUUCUGGUUUCGUUUUAUAUGGGUUCUCCGGCUUUCAAGCAAGACAAAAUAAUCUAUUGUGUUGCUGUCCCCAAGGAAUGGUCCUGCCUAGUCUUGGCUAAGAGUCUGUUUCUCACCCCAGACCCUGGCUGUCAGAGAUUUUUUUUACCUUGGUUAUAAAAAUGUGGAGUUCAACCAGUCCUCAGUAUGGGGAGGCCCAAGCAAAGAACACGUAAAGAAAAAUAAUAGAAAAUGUUGUUUUUCAUGUCAUUUGACCGAUGCUUUAUAGACGUAGGACCGAGACACGUGUGUUCAGAAUGACACUGGGAAGCUUACGCAUCAUGAACACUUUGUGCCAAGAUGAUUUUUGAGAAGUGGUUAACGUACCUGUGUGCUUUCUCUUAUUUUAGAUGAAACGGUUAUUUCAGAAAGGGUCACCAUUUGCCUCGGUAGUUUGAAGGAUAAACUGGAGCAGUUCCUAGAAUGCUUGAUGGUCUGAGGCUGAUAGAAUAUCCUCUUUGCAAAAUGCACUUCAAUGUAUUUCAUCAAAAGAGCCGAGCUUUGACUAGGAGGUGAUUCAUGGUGUCAGGAUAUUUCCCAGAGACAUGCCCACUUCUGCGUAACUCUCAUUUUCCAGAGAGCUUCCCGAAGAAGUGAGCCGAGAACAUAUGCUUUGCAGGUUUGUUUUUUGUUUUGUAAAGGAAAGAAUAAGGCAAGUUAAGCUUAUGACAACCUAUGUUAAUAAUAUGAAGGACGUAAUGAAAUACACAGACGGCAAAGGAAGCCAAAUCUGAGCCAAGAGCACAAGCAGGUCCUUCCCCCUUUACAUCUGCAGCGAUGCAGCUAGAAGCAGGUGCCGGUGGAGACCUGCUGAAUUUCUUUAUUAGUGAGAGCACUGGCAUUUAUGGCGUGAGGUCAGACCCUUGAUGUUAUUUCAAAGGAGCGUUUUAAUAUUUAAUUUCCUUAUGUCUAUAGAUGAGGUCUUAUAGGCAGACAUAGCCUUAAGUACUCUGAGCACACCACCAGGAAUCAAAAAGCAGCUCUCUCUCUCACACACACACACACACACACACACACACACACACACGUGCUCAUGCACUCAGCUGUGCACCACUCACAGACAAAGACAGCCUGACCUCAAUAUCUAUGUUACCCGAAUCGUGUCACUCGAACCCCUGCCCUUCGGUACUAAUGCUUUUCCUGCUUCCACUAGCCCUACAGCAUCUCGCGUAAUUGCAAGAGGAAAUGGGUUUUCAUUACUUCACCUAAUAGCAACUGUGGGAUACAGGACAUCAAGUCCUUCUUUAGCUGCUUUCCCCACACAUUAUCCGCCCAUUUAAACGCAAAGUGUGUGAUAGCUGUGAAGAUUAUGAGUUUAAGGAUUUAUUCAUUCAUCUCAGAAGUAGUUUGCAGGUGUUUGCACUCCCGUGAGUAUUUAUCUAAGCUUUACCCACACAGUUGUCAAAGUGAAAACACUGUGUUAGGUACUGAGAUGGCUUUGGCGGAACUUUCCGAGUUUUCAUCAUUUACGUCUUUGGUAGAUUAAUUUUCUGCGACCUUUCACUCUUUCCUUUGUGGGAAGAGACUGGUCAGUGUAGGCUUCUGUCCGCUCCCUCAGUUUCCAUCGUGUUGGCUUGGUGCCCUCAGGAAGCAGUUCCUAGAGGAUGCUCGUGACGUGUGCCUGUUUGGACAUAUGCUCUGUGGAACUCAGUGCCUGACUUAAAACCCUUGGGACCUGGCCUCCGGUGCUUGGCUUCUGAGACAUGUCCCAGCAUAUUCACGAAGACUUAGCUCCCCCUCGUCCUUGGUAGGAAAUCAACCCAAGACUUUUACACCCUUAAACAUAAGGAGAAAGCAUCACCUUUGCCUCUUGGUGGCCACCAGGGAGGACAGCCCAGUACAAGUACCAGGAUGCGAUAAGAGGGGACACCCAAAUGCCACGGCCGAAUCCCCUUUCCCUCCCCCAUGCACCAGACUGAGGGGUGAGCCACACAGUUUCCUUCGGAACUUUCCAUUCUCCACGCACAGAUAUUCGUAAAGCAGUUUAGGACCCAAAGGCUAGCCUGGCAGCCUGGCGUCUUAUGUGGAAAAGCGAGAGACCAGCGUUUGCCCUGGGAAAAGAGGCAGCUGGAACGGUAUCAGGCGAUGUGGGCGUGUGGUCCCUCUUCCAGGGCAGGUGUGGCUUCUGUGACGCCAUCCUGCUCUGAGGACACUCUGUUGGACGUCCUGGAUCAGCAGCAAGGGCACCACCCCGCACAUUGUCACCCAAAUGCCUCUAAAAAACAGAAAUUAUAAGCAUGACUAACAUUUGUUGAGCACCUACUAUGGGCCAGGCCCUGCUGGGAGCUUUACAAAUGCUUAUCCUUCUGAUAGCCAUGUGGGAUAAGGUAUAUCACCUUGACGGAGUAUAUAAAAUUCAUCUGUUUGGUUUGUUCCUAUCCCGUUCCACCCACUCGUCCUUCAUCCAUCCAUCCAUCCACCCAUCCAUCCAUCCAUCUCUUUUCCUCUCUCUCUCUCUUCACCCAAUCUCUGGGACAGGACUAUACACGCUUUUAAUACAAGAGCUAAGAACUGCUUAAUCCUGCCCUCCGCUCACUUUCAGUAGAAAAAGAGUGGACGCAGACCAUGCAGCUGAGAACUGGUUUGAGUCCAAGAUGGCGGUACUCUUGCCCUGUCCUGGGCAGGCGCAGCUGUGUGUGUUCAGAGGCACACCGCCUGCCUGGCUUUGGAGGGAUCCUCGCCUUCCCCGGAUUAACUUCAAAAGGGUAGACAGACAUCUCUCCUGUUGUCAUGGUGAUUCUUCUUCCCAGAUAGGAUGUCAGGCAUUCUGAGCACGUUUCCCUUGUUGUUUUUCCACCUUCAGCCCAGUCCAGGCUUGUCCUGGGUGUCCUGUGUUGUUUGCUGAAACAGUAGCUGGUGGAGUGACGCCUCGCCUUGGCACAGUUGGGAACUGCAGAGACAAGCUCCUGGCUCUUUGGAAAGUAGCGGAUCCUACCUUCCGCCUCUGGCCAUUGAUGGAAUCCUGGCCUAGAUUUUCAGAUUCGCUCAUUCAUUUAACUAAUAUUUACCGAACACUAAUAAGUCAGUCACUGUGACUCUCAGUAUUUUAUAUUUAAUUAAAAUACUUUAACCUCUCCUGUGUGUUUACUGGGAGCCAGGAUCAUGCUCUCUCUUUUCCUUUACAUUCCGUUCACAAGAACCGGGCGCGGUGGGACUCAGCGCCCUUCUGCAGAGGAAAGAAAAUGAGGAAAAACUAAAAUACCUCGUCCGAAGUCAUUCGUUCCGUGAGCCACAGGCAGGCUGGGAACCCGCAGUCUAACUCAAUUGCUUGUGCUUUAAUUAUAAGUCUUUCUCAGCCAUCUGAUUCGAUGUGUGUGCGAUUUAAGUGAGCAACUCAUCAAAGUUCUGAACCGCAAGAGCCAAACCAGAUUUUUAGGAUUGCAGAGAAAAGAGAACUUGGCUUAAAAAAAUCAUUUGAUGGCAUGUAUAGUUGCAAGUCGAAAGGGUAGGUCUCGGGGCUGGCAGGGUUUUGUAUCCACCUGGCCUGUCAAAAUUUGGAGCCGUGUUCACCAGUCAUUCCAUGUUAGCCGAUCCGCACACAGAUUUUAUAAUCGGAGGAGUGCAUUGUCUGUAAUAAGACCAACAACAGCAAUUUCAAUAGUGAAUCUGGCAGGUUGCAAGCUGAGUUCUCUUCCACUCUGGUUCUAGAAGGAUGCCUUUUUCUCAAUAUUUAGGAAAAACUGCUUUGAGAUUGCAUCGCUGUCACAAUUAACCAGGUUAUUUUAUUCCUAUAUGGGCUGCCUACACUUGGAAAAUGCCCUUUGUCAUGAGACGCGGUGCCAGAAGUCAGGAGCAGGUGACCGUUGUGUUGAUCUGGGGUCGCUUUUGGAAAUUGUUCAAUAAUUGGGUAGAGGGACUUUCUGCUCUGUGGGAGAAGAUACAUUUUGAGUGAAAUAUAACCUGGGUCACUGGUUGCUGGGGGCCCUAAUCCACUUUCUCAGAUACCUACCUGGAUCACUGAAUACACGAGAGCAGAAAAUGCUAAAAAUAUCUGGUCCAGGUGUACGGAGGCCUGGAAGUGACACACAGGAAGCACUUGCUAUCAUGUCCUGAGAUGAAACGGGCCCAGGGCAGCUGGCAGAAUUAAAAAUCUCAACUUCCUGUGUUAUAACCGCGAAUCUGCCGCCGCCCCGUGAUUUCUCAAUAAAGGAGGAGAAACUCUAACAAAAUAAUCUUGCACAUUUUGAUGGUUCCCAGGAUAAAUUUAACUCAACAUGGAGGAUCUGAUUCUCUUAUCAAGAAUAUCAGGGGAAAUGGUUUUGCUGCAACAGACAAAGGAAAUUCCUGUCCUUUUUAAUGGACUCCAGCUGCCUACCAAGGCUCAUUGCUCACUUCAGGCUGUGCCCAAGUUAUUUAUAGGAGAUAUCUCAGUGUAACCUAGGGAAGUGCAGGUCAUUUGAAAAUAAAGACACAGAAAACCCAAAUGAGAAACUCCAUUUCUAGAAUUAGUUUUCCUGAAAGUCAGGCCUGUCUUUGAGGACAAGCUUUUGGCUGUAUUAUUUUUGUGCACCGGAGAAAAGUUAUUGGUAGGUUUAUAGAUAUUAUUUUUAUAAUAGAAUGUUAAGCUCCCCCCAAAACAUCAAAAAUUGUCUCCUAAAAUGGUUUCUAAAGCUUGUUUAAAAAACAGAAGGAUUGUAAAUAGCAAAUAGGGCCUUUUCUCCUUUCUCCUCUGCCAUGGUUUAAUGGGAUAGAUGAACCAAUGUUUAUAUUUUUAAGCCUGUAAAUAUUUUAUUUUGGGUAUUUUGUAUAUUUGUUGAUACAGCUCCAUGGUGCGCAUAUGUACGUACCAUCGUGCAUGUUGCUGGUUUUGAUUGUCACUCUUUUAAUGACGGUGAGAAGCUUGGACUAAUAGCACUUUCCUUGUUUCGUUCAAACAUCUUCAAAUGAAAAUACAGCACUGCCAUUUUAAACGUUGCGUUUCAUUCAGUCAAUAAAUUUUGUUGCUCCUUU
RNAcentral lists this long non-coding RNA (5241 nucleotides) under Sus scrofa (pig). RNAcentral describes it as "lncRNA (ENSSSCG00065062311.1)". The record is from RNAcentral. Lineage: Eukaryota; Metazoa; Chordata; Mammalia; Artiodactyla; Suidae.